GACGAACGCUGGCGGCGUGCUUAACACAUGCAAGUCGAACGGAAAGGCCCUGCUUUUGUGGGGUGCUCGAGUGGCGAACGGGUGAGUAACACGUGAGUAACCUGCCCUUGACUUUGGGAUAACUUCAGGAAACUGGGGCUAAUACCGGAUAGGAGCUCCUGCUGCAUGGUGGGGGUUGGAAAGUUUCGGCGGUUGGGGAUGGACUCGCGGCUUAUCAGCUUGUUGGUGGGGUAGUGGCUUACCAAGGCUUUGACGGGUAGCCGGCCUGAGAGGGUGACCGGCCACAUGGGGACUGAGAUAGGGCCCAGACUCCUACGGGAGGAAGCAGUGGGGAAUAUUGCACAAUGGGCGGAAGCCUGAUGCAGCAAGGCCGCGUGCGGGAUGACGGCCUUCGGGUUGUAACCCGCUUUCGCAUGUGACGAAGCGUGAGUGACGGUAAUGGGUAAAGAAGCACCGGCUAACUACGUG
This 468-nucleotide ribosomal RNA is filed under the name uncultured bacterium. Its description in RNAcentral is "partial 16S ribosomal RNA". It matches the Rfam family "Bacterial small subunit ribosomal RNA", at positions 28 to 507 of the family's 1533-position model. The record is from RNAcentral.